ACGCUCGACACCUACGUGAGGCAGCAGUCGGGAAUAUUGCGCAAUGGAGGAAACUCUGACGCAGUGACGCCGCGUAUAGGAAGAGGGUCUUCGGAUUGUAAACUAUUGUCGUUAGGGAAGAAAAAGGACAGUACCUAAGGAGGAAGCUCCGGCUAACUACGUGCCAACAGCCGCGGUAAUCUGAGCGGGCUGGCAAGGC
Molecule: ribosomal RNA, 199 nt
Filed under: uncultured bacterium
Lineage: Bacteria
Description: partial 16S ribosomal RNA
Rfam family: Bacterial small subunit ribosomal RNA
Source: RNAcentral